CCUGACGGAGCAACGCCGCGUGAGGGACGAAGGCCUCUGGGCUGUAAACCUCUUUUCUCAAGGAAGAAGAUAUGACGGUACUUGAGGAAUAAGCCACGGCUAAUUCCGUGCCAGCAGCCGCGGUAAUACGGGAGUGGCAAGCGUUAUCCGGAAUUAUUGGGCGUAAAGCGUCCGCAGGCGGCUUUUCAAGUCUGCUGUUAAAACGUGGAGCUUAACUCCAUCAUGGCAGUGGAAACUGAAAGGCUUGAGUAUGGUAGGGGCAGAGGGAAUUCCCGGUGUAGCGGUGAAAUGCGUAGAUAUCGGGAAGAACACCAGUGGCGAAGGCGCUCUGCUGGGCCAUUACUGACGCUCAUGGACGAAAGCCAGGGGAGCGAAAGGGAUUAGAUACCCCUGUAGUCCUGGCCGUAAACGAUGAACACUAGGUGUCGGGGGAAUCGACCCCUUCGGUGUCGUAGCUAACGCGUUAAGUGUUCCGCCUGGGGAGUACGCACGCAAGUGUGAAACUCAAAGGAAUUGACGGGGGCCCGCACAAGCGGUGGAGUAUGUGGUUUAAUUCGAUGCAACGCGAAGAACCUUACCAGGGUUUGACAUCCUGCGAACCUCUUAGAAAUUUGAGGGUGCCUUCGGGAAUGCAGUGACAGGUGGUGCAUGGCUGUCGUCAGCUCGUGUCGUGAGAUGUUGGGUUAAGUCCCGCAACGAGCGCAACCCACGUUUUUAGUUGCCAGCAUUUAGUUGGGCACUCUAGAAAGACCGCCGGUGAUAAACCGGAGGAAGGUGUGGAUGACGUCAAGUCAUCAUGCCCCUUACACCCUGGGCUACACACGUACUACAAUGCUACGGACAAAGGGCAGCAAACUCGCGA
Molecule: ribosomal RNA, 862 nt
Filed under: marine metagenome
Description: bacterial SSU rRNA
Rfam family: Bacterial small subunit ribosomal RNA
Source: RNAcentral